UACGGAGGGUGCAAGCGUUAUCCGGAUUCACUGGGUUUAAAGGGUGCGUAGGCGGGCAGGUAAGUCAGGGGUGAAAUCUCCGGGCUUAACCCGGAAACUGCCGUUGAUACUAUUUGUCUUGAAUAUUGUGGAGGUAAGCGGAAUAUGUCAUGUAGCGGUGAAAUGCUUAGAUAUGACAUAGAACACCAAUUGCGAAGGCAGCUUACUACACAACGAUUGACGCUGAGGCACGAAAGCGUGGGGAUCAAACAGG
RNAcentral lists this ribosomal RNA (253 nucleotides) under uncultured bacterium. RNAcentral's name for it is "partial 16S ribosomal RNA". It matches the Rfam family "Bacterial small subunit ribosomal RNA", at positions 524 to 776 of the family's 1533-position model. The record is from RNAcentral.